AAAUAGCUGAAUAACAACAAUACAAAAGCUGCGUUGGAACGGAAAGACAAUUCGCGAAAAGAAGAACACGCAGAGGACAGCAAGACAAAAAAAGUGUCGAAGAGCAUUUGGAUGGAUCCUAGCAUUGUAAUCCGUGUCAAUCUAGUGGAUGUGUGACGCUUGUCUGGAUGAUUGGAUAUGAAUAGAGGUAAAAAGAUAAAAAUGAAAUCGGUGAAGCCCCACCUGCUGCAGUGGGCUUUGAAUGAAUACAGCGGAUUAACGUCAGGUAUUAUAUUCAUCCGGCUUGACGCGUGAAACCCUACAUACCAUAAGAGAUUCGUUUUGCUUAGGGGCUGCCUUUGAGAGUCUCUGCGCUGGGGUGCU
This is a long non-coding RNA of Ochlerotatus camptorhynchus, 363 nucleotides long. RefSeq lists it as uncharacterized. NCBI's taxonomy places the organism in Eukaryota, Metazoa, Arthropoda, Insecta, Diptera, Culicidae. The transcript has 3 exons. The record is from RefSeq and is a predicted model, not a curated record.